This 257-nucleotide ribosomal RNA is filed under the name Flavobacterium sp. ISO614_OTU5152. RNAcentral describes it as "partial 16S ribosomal RNA". It matches the Rfam family "Bacterial small subunit ribosomal RNA", at positions 29 to 289 of the family's 1533-position model. Lineage: Bacteria; Pseudomonadati; Bacteroidota; Flavobacteriia; Flavobacteriales; Flavobacteriaceae. The record is from RNAcentral. RNAcentral also lists the same sequence under 1 other name.
AUGAACGCUAGCGGCAGGCUUAACACAUGCAAGUCGAGGGGUANNNNUCUUCGGNANNAGAGACCGGCGCACGGGUGCGUAACGCGUAUGCAAUCUACCUUUUACAGAGGGAUAGCCCAGAGAAAUUUGGAUUAAUACCUCAUAGUAUUAUGAAAUGGCAUCAUNUUAUAAUUAAAGUCACAACGGUAAAAGAUGAGCAUGCGUCCCAUUAGCUAGUUGGUAAGGUAACGGCUUACCAAGGCUACGAUGGGUAGGGG